AUUGAACGCUGGCGGCAUGCCUUACACAUGCAAGCCGAACGGCAGCACGGGUUCUUGCCCCUGGUUGCGAGUGGCGAACGGGUGAUUAAUACAUCGGUCCAUGUCCUGUUGUGGGGGAUAGUCCGGCGAAAGCCGGAUUUAUCCCACAUACGCUCUACGAGAGAAAGGGGGGGCCCUUCGGCCCUCGCGCUAGAGGGUUGGCCGUUGGCUUUUUCUCUUGUUGGUGGGGUAAAGCCCUACCAAGGCAACGCUCAGUAGCUGGUCGGGGAGUACGACCGGCAAAACUGGAAUGGAGAAACGGCCAAGACUCCAAGGGGAGGAAGAAGUGGGAAAUUUUGGACAAUGGGCGAAAGCCUGAUCAAGCAAGGCCGCGUGUGUGAAGAAGGCCUUCGGGUUGUAAAGCACUUUUGUCGGGAAAGAAAGCCUUGGCCCUAACACGGUCGGGGGAUGACGGUACAGGAAGAAUAAGCACGGGCUAACUACGU
RNAcentral lists this ribosomal RNA (485 nucleotides) under uncultured bacterium. RNAcentral describes it as "partial 16S ribosomal RNA". It matches the Rfam family "Bacterial small subunit ribosomal RNA", at positions 30 to 506 of the family's 1533-position model. The record is from RNAcentral.